This is an RNA transcript of Gorilla gorilla gorilla (western lowland gorilla), 857 nucleotides long. RefSeq lists it as uncharacterized. Lineage: Eukaryota; Metazoa; Chordata; Mammalia; Primates; Hominidae. The transcript has 6 exons. The record is from RefSeq and is a predicted model, not a curated record.
CUGGUGCUGGUGCUGCCUUGAGAAUGCUGUUUCCAGCCCCUAAACCUGACCCAUUCCCUCUUCUAGGACCCUACUCAGCCUCCAGGCCCAGCUCAGUGACUGCCCCCAAAGACUCCCUGGAGCAUUCCUUCUAAAAGGGCCUGCUCUAGUCAAACCACCCACAGCCUCUGUGCUACUGUGUCCGGAAUUGGUGGGUUUUUGGUCUCGCUAACUUCAAAAAUGAAGCCAUGGACCCUCGUGAAACAGGGUCUCACUAUGUUGCCCAGGCUGCUCUCAAACUCCUGAGCUCAAGCAGUCCUCCUGCCUCAGUCUCCCAAAGUGUUGGGAUUAUAGGUGUGAGCCACCACACCCGGCCUAUUUGGGUCCCAAUCCAGACCCUAAGACAGAGUUCUUGGAUCUUGAGUACAAAAGAAUCCAGGACUCUUCUAACAAGCAGUCUCAGCCAGUCACAGGAGCCAAACUUCAGUCAACCACAGGCAGUCAAAUGUUCAAACCAGGUCAAAUAAGCCUUCUGGGGCUGAUUUGGUCGCAGGCAGCAGAGCAGUUGAAGAAGCAAAUUAGUAAAUGGUAGCAGAACAGAAUCUGUUCCAAGCACACAUGAUCCCAGGAAUGGAUGGAGAGAGAUGUCAGUCAUGGGACUUUCCACAGAGAAGGUGGGAGCAGAGACACAGCCACAUUGUACUGUGAGGUUGGUGAAGGUCUCAAAAAAGGAUUAAGCAAAUGACAACAAAGAUAAUACCUUCCAUUUAUCACUCUAAUUACAUACAGCCCCUUCUGCAUUGUCUUUGGUUUGUUGAUUGAGAGGGAAAAAUAUAUUCUUUCUUAAAUAAUCCAGAAUAAAACUUUUAUUUAUUUAA